This is a non-coding RNA of Ciona intestinalis (vase tunicate), 453 nucleotides long. The record is from RefSeq and is a predicted model, not a curated record. NCBI's taxonomy places the organism in Eukaryota, Metazoa, Chordata, Ascidiacea, Phlebobranchia, Cionidae.
GAAAUAACUCAAGAGAUGACGUAUAUUCCUAAACCAAGUUCCAUGAUGGAGAGUAUACAACCCCCUUCACAUAGAUCUGGCGUCAAUCGAUGGGUGGAUUUUUAUCUCUCUACUCCCAAAUUACAAGAUAGCGCCGUUUCGGCAGACUGAUCGUAGCAAUGGAGAGUAACCUACCCAUUAAAGCGAGUGGAAACUGAUCAAAAUAUUCUGAGUUCGAUGCUCCGAGCAAAUCAAAUAUUUUUGUAUAUAUAUUAUUUUGUUGAAAAAUAAAUGAGAAAGUUAUUAUUUCAUUUUUUAAGUAUUUUUUGCGCCGAACAAAUCCAAAAUGUAUAGUUUAGCAUAGUAAUUAUUAUUUAUAUGCAUUAUUGUUUAUAUGUAUAAUAUACUUUUAGGUGAUUUUAUGCACUAUGGUUUACAAAUAUAAAUUCUUGAAAAUAACAUGUCUAACACAAC